RNAcentral lists this ribosomal RNA (1444 nucleotides) under uncultured organism. RNAcentral describes it as "SSU rRNA". It matches the Rfam family "Bacterial small subunit ribosomal RNA". The record is from RNAcentral.
ACAGGCUUAACACAUGCAAGUCGAGGGGCAGCAUGGUCUUAGCUUGCUAAGGCCGAUGGCGACCGGCGCACGGGUGAGUAACACGUAUCCAACCUGCCGUCUACUCUUGGACAGCCUUCUGAAAGGAAGAUUAAUACAAGAUGGCAUCAUGAGUCCGCAUGUUCACAUGAUUAAAGGUAUUCCGGUAGACGAUGGGGAUGCGUUCCAUUAGAUAGUAGGCGGGGUAACGGCCCACCUAGUCUUCGAUGGAUAGGGGUUCUGAGAGGAAGGUCCCCCACAUUGGAACUGAGACACGGUCCAAACUCCUACGGGAGGCAGCAGUGAGGAAUAUUGGUCAAUGGGCGAGAGCCUGAACCAGCCAAGUAGCGUGAAGGAUGACUGCCCUAUGGGUUGUAAACUUCUUUUAUAAAGGAAUAAAGUCGGGUAUGCAUACCCGUUUGCAUGUACUUUAUGAAUAAGGAUCGGCUAACUCCGUGCCAGCAGCCGCGGUAAUACGGAGGAUCCGAGCGUUAUCCGGAUUUAUUGGGUUUAAAGGGAGCGUAGAUGGAUGUUUAAGUCAGUUGUGAAAGUUUGCGGCUCAACCGUAAAAUUGCAGUUGAUACUGGAUAUCUUGAGUGCAGUUGAGGCAGGCGGAAUUCGUGGUGUAGCGGUGAAAUGCUUAGAUAUCACGAAGAACUCCGAUUGCGAAGGCAGCCUGCUAAGCUGCAACUGACAUUGAGGCUCGAAAGUGUGGGUAUCAAACAGGAUUAGAUACCCUGGUAGUCCACACGGUAAACGAUGAAUACUCGCUGUUUGCGAUAUACGGCAAGCGGCCAAGCGAAAGCGUUAAGUAUUCCACCUGGGGAGUACGCCGGCAACGGUGAAACUCAAAGGAAUUGACGGGGGCCCGCACAAGCGGAGGAACAUGUGGUUUAAUUCGAUGAUACGCGAGGAACCUUACCCGGGCUUAAAUUGCAGAUGAAUUACGGUGAAAGCCGUAAGCCGCAAGGCAUCUGUGAAGGUGCUGCAUGGUUGUCGUCAGCUCGUGCCGUGAGGUGUCGGCUUAAGUGCCAUAACGAGCGCAACCCUUGUUGUCAGUUACUAACAGGUUCCGCUGAGGACUCUGACAAGACUGCCAUCGUAAGAUGUGAGGAAGGUGGGGAUGACGUCAAAUCAGCACGGCCCUUACGUCCGGGGCUACACACGUGUUACAAUGGGGGGUACAGAGGGCCGCUACCACGCGAGUGGAUGCCAAUCCCCAAAACCUCUCUCAGUUCGGACUGGAGUCUGCAACCCGACUCCACGAAGCUGGAUUCGCUAGUAAUCGCGCAUCAGCCACGGCGCGGUGAAUACGUUCCCGGGCCUUGUACACACCGCCCGUCAAGCCAUGGGAGCCGGGGGUACCUGAAGUGCGUAACCGCGAGGAGCGCCCUAGGGUAAAACUGGUGACUGGGGCUAAGUCAUA